RNAcentral lists this ribosomal RNA (252 nucleotides) under uncultured bacterium. RNAcentral describes it as "partial 16S ribosomal RNA". It matches the Rfam family "Bacterial small subunit ribosomal RNA", at positions 524 to 776 of the family's 1533-position model. The record is from RNAcentral.
GACGAACCGUGCGAACGUUGUUCGGAAUCACUGGGCUUAAAGGGCGCGUAGGCGGCUUAUCAAGUCAGGGGUGAAAUUUUGCGGCUUAACCGUAACUAGCCUUUGAUACUGGUAGGCUCGAGGGAGGUAGGGGUAUGUGGAACUGCUGGUGGAGCGGUGAAAUGCGUUGAUAUCAGCAGGAACGCCGGUGGCGAAAGCGACGUACUGGACCUCUUCUGACGCUGAGGCGCGAAAGCUAGGGGAGCAAACGGG